GCCGCCGCAAUCCUUUUCAAAAGGCUUGAUAAUUAAACUGUGCUCACCUGUGGCAACCGUCAAUUGCCUGGGAACACCUGUGGGAACGUUCAUUUUAAGGUCAGCCCGAGUGCGGCGGCGUCGGCCCUGCGAAGCCCCAGAACCCCAGGUCAGGUGGGUUGUAGACUGGGUUGUAUUCCGCGGCGUCGGUCCUCCAGGUAACUCGCGAGCCCCACCUGGCCGACAGCAACUGCCAUUACAUUGACUUUGAAUCAGUGUUGUGCCGAACUGUCCUGUGCGAAGGUCUAUUUUUCCCUCGUCUUUAAGCCAGUGGUAGAUCUUAUCGGGGAAAAAAUAUUAUACCGAUAGAAGGAGUUGUUUGUGGUGUGUCUCUGUGUUCCCCCUCAGUGUGUUGAGCCCCAACUGGCAUUAAGUGGAAAAGAAAAAAAGUGAUUAAGAGGGAUUUUUUUCCUACCUGUGUUUGAUCUCUCUCUCCCUCCACGCAAGCCAUCUCAAGACUCUCUCGCUCUGACUCUAUCUUUUGGAUUUACUUACGCAUUGGGGACUAACGCAGCAUCUUCCGUAGGCGGUGGAGCCCUGGCCGGCGAUGUUGGGAUGAGGGAUACUCACGGACCCUUAACACUGGUGAGUAAAAACUGUGCCUCAUCUGUACCUUUUUUUGAUGAGU
RNAcentral lists this unclassified non-coding RNA (667 nucleotides) under Penaeus japonicus. Its description in RNAcentral is "uncharacterized LOC122255890, transcript variant X1". The record is from RNAcentral. Lineage: Eukaryota; Metazoa; Arthropoda; Malacostraca; Decapoda; Penaeidae.